This 1455-nucleotide long non-coding RNA is filed under the name Homo sapiens (human). RNAcentral describes it as "HSALNT0401095". Lineage: Eukaryota; Metazoa; Chordata; Mammalia; Primates; Hominidae. The record is from RNAcentral.
AGCGGGGGCGGGGCCCGGAGGGAGUCUGGGAGGGCCCGAAAGUUUGCCCAAGUCGCUGGGGCGGCCGGCCGGGGUGCAAGCAGUCGGGCCGGGCUCCCACGACCCCCGCGCGGGGCGGGCCCAGGCAGGAAGUGGGCGCACUUACUGGCCCCCUCGAUCUUGUCGGCGCCCCGGCUCCACGUGAUCUGGCGCGUCUCCAGCUUGACCUGGAAGGUCUUCCGCUCGGGUCGCUGCGACUUCUUGGAGUAGAACAAAGUCAUGACGGUGCCCACCUCGAGGCUGCGGCAGAGCACCGCCAAAAUUGAGGACACCCACGGUCGCGGUGGAGCCUGUCUGACAUGUUGAGCCAGGCAGUGGGUCGGCUGCCAGGCACAGCAGGACAACUUACUGCAUUUCAGAGGAAUGAUGGUCCACAAUUUACUGAUGAGGAAACAGAGAUUCAGAGAAGUUCUACAAUUUGCCCCAAAGCCACAUAACAUGACUAGGUGGGAACUAGAACCCAAGUCGGCCUGACUCCAUGAGUUUUCUGCCUCACAGGAGAUCCACUGGCUUAGAGUUUCUCUCUCGUCGCCCAGGCUGGCGUGCAAUGGCACAAUCUUGGCUCACUGCAAUCUCCGCCUCCCGAGUUCAAGCAGUCCUGCCUCAGCCUCCUGAGUCUCUUUUGAUUUGGUGCUGUCACAGGUUGGGUUCUUUGGAUGUGGACUCUGUGACAGGAAACCAGCCAAGUAACCUUGUUAUCAUGCCGGACUUCUUUCCACUUAUGUCCUGGAGGAGGAGAAGGAACCUUGGCAUCUCUGGAAAUAACAGAGCACGAGGAUAGUGAAAUAAGAUGCCCCAAAGUGUGAAAGUGGUGAUGUUGGCAAUUUGGAUAUGCCAUACAGAAGCUGCACAGAGUGCUUUAAAUGAAAAGGUGGAAAUUAUCGACUUAAUAAAAAAAACUGUAUGGUGAAGUUGCUAAGAUCUAAGGCAGCCUGUAGAAGAAAAAUGACAUCCCAGCUGGAUACCAGAAAGAUCCUUCAGUAAUGAGGAUGGCCAAGGCUGGAAGAUGGAGAUGGAUGAGCAUCACAAGAUUCCAGAGUAAAAUAGAUCAAAGAGCAGGGAGGUACAUGGCCAAUAUGAUUUCAUCUGUCUUAAAUCCUUAAUAUCCAGUAGCCACUGUGGGACAGGUCUGCCCAUCCUUAAUUACUAUAUUAUUGGCUGGAGUUACUGACUGGUUUUUAGGUCACUGAAGCACCAAGAUUCCUGUACAGAGCUACUGAGCAAAGUACUUGUUCACAAUUUUCAGUCUAACUAAAACCUUUAAGAAAAUUUAGACUUUGAGAACUCUAAGUCUUUAGCAUAGAAUGAUGUGAAAUUACUGAUGUUAAUGUUGUGUCAUAAGAACCAAGAAGAAAGUUAAAUGAACCAAUCACAAUUCCAGAAUUCUCCAGAGGUUUAAUAAAUUCUGUAGUACCA